Molecule: ribosomal RNA, 328 nt
Filed under: uncultured eukaryote
Lineage: Eukaryota
Description: partial 18S ribosomal RNA
Rfam family: Eukaryotic small subunit ribosomal RNA
Source: RNAcentral
CCCUUAGAUGUCCUGGGCCGCACGCGUGCUACACUGACACCUGCAACGAGUUAUUCCAGCUCCGAAAGGCAGUUGGUAAUCAGAAAUAGGUGUCGUGAUGGGGAUAGACCCUCGGAAUUAUGGAUCUUGAACGAGGAAUGCCUAGUAAGCGCACGUCAUUAGCGUGCGCUGAUUAAGUCCCUGCCCUUUGUACACACCGCCCGUCGCUCCUACCGAUUUCGAGUGGUCCGGUGAAGCGUUCGGACCGUGGCCUUUGGACGGUUCGCCGUCUGUUGGCUGCGGGAAGUUCGUUAAACCUUAUCAUUUAGAGGAAGGAGAANUCGUANCA